Molecule: ribosomal RNA, 425 nt
Filed under: uncultured Methanosaeta sp.
Lineage: Archaea; Methanobacteriati; Methanobacteriota; Methanomicrobia; Methanotrichales; Methanotrichaceae
Description: partial 16S ribosomal RNA
Source: RNAcentral
GGACUACCAGGGUAUCUAAUCCGGUUCGUGCCCCUAGCUUUCGUCCCUUGCCGUCAGGUCCGUUCUGGUGAGACGCCUUCGCCACUGGUGGUCCUUCAAGGAUUACAAGAUUUCACCCCUACCCCUGAAGUACCUCUCACCUCUCCCGGCCUCGAGCCGAACAGUAUCUCCUGAAAGCCCGACAGUUAAGCUGCCAGAUUUCCCAAGAGACUUAUCCGGCCGGCUACAGACCCUUUAGACCCAAUAAUAACGGUUACCACUCGAGCCGCCGGUGUUACCGCGGCGGCUGGCACCGGUCUUGCCCGGCCCUUGCUAUGCAAUGCUUUUUAGGCAUUACGACAGCCAGAUUUGUAACCUGGCACUCGAGGUCCCCUUAUCGCCGUUGCCGGCAUUGUAAAGUUUUCGCGCCUGCUGCCUCCCAUAGG